This 474-nucleotide ribosomal RNA is filed under the name uncultured bacterium. Its description in RNAcentral is "bacterial SSU rRNA". It matches the Rfam family "Bacterial small subunit ribosomal RNA", at positions 328 to 793 of the family's 1533-position model. The record is from RNAcentral.
CUCUGUGACUCCUACGGGAGGCAGCAGUGGGGAAUAUUGCACAAUGGGGGAAACCCUGAUGCAGCCAUGCCGCGUGUGUGAAGAAGGCCUUCGGGUUGUAAAGCACUUUCAGUAGGGAGGAAGGUAGUGUAGUUAACACCUGCACUAUUUGACGUUACCUACAGAAGAAGCACCGGCUAACUCCGUGCCAGCAGCCGCGGUAAUACGGAGGGUGCGAGCGUUAAAUCGGAAUUACUGGGCGUAAAGCGCAUGCAGGCGGCCUGUUAAGUCAGAUGUGAAAGCCCCGGGGCUUAACCUCGGAAUUGCAUUUGAAACUGGCAGGCUAGAGUCUUGUAGAGGGGGUAGAAUUUCAGGUGUAGCGGUGAAAUGCGUAGAGAUCUGAAGGAAUACCAGUGGCGAAGGCGGCCCCCUGGACAAAGACUGACGCUCAGAUGCGAAAGCGUGGGGAGCAAACAGGAUUAGAUACCCUGGUAG